This 333-nucleotide ribosomal RNA is filed under the name Triticum aestivum (bread wheat). Its description in RNAcentral is "partial small subunit ribosomal RNA". Lineage: Eukaryota; Viridiplantae; Streptophyta; Magnoliopsida; Poales; Poaceae. The record is from RNAcentral.
AUGCAGUUCUGGUCCUUGGAGGGGGCGGACGAGGCGUUCGGCGACUUCGGCCGCAUCGACCGCCUUGACAGCCGGACCCUGGAGCGAGGCCACACCAAGACCUUCGCCUGCUGGCUCUGGACAUGGAACGUCGCGCACAUCCCCACCACGCGGGCGCUCUGGGUGCUCAAGAGGGGAGCGGGCCGCGUCGACGAGAUCAUCGGCUACUCCCCUCCUGAUCGUCGCAUCCCUCCUCCGCCGGGCGUCCGCCGCUACGACAUGCUCAUCCACGUGGAUCGGAUGGAGGACUGGACCCCGCUCUCGCCGCGCUCCUCGCACUCGGGACAGAGCGGG